CUCUCUCUUCCUCUCUGUAAAAAAAUCAAUAAAAUAUAUUUUAAAAAUAAAAUAAAAUGGCUGGCACCAAGACCUUGACAUUUUUUUUUAAAAAAAGAGGUCUUUACUGAAUUAACUCUGAGAAAUGCUGUGCUAAUUUGCUUUUCUGUGGGAGUAAGGGAAGGAAGGGACUUAAGCAAAAGCAUCUUUCUAUAACCAAUUUUCCCUAAAUUUAAAAAAAAAUAUAUUUUUUAUUGAUUUCAGAGAGGAAGGGAGAGGGAGAGGGAGAGAGAGAGAGACGGAGAGAAACAUCACUGAUAAGAGAGAAUCAUUGAUUGGCUACCUCCUGCAUGCCCCCUACUGGGGAUUGAGCCUGCAACCUGGGAAUGUGCCCUGACUGGGAAUCACACCCUGACUUUCUGGUUCAUAGGUUGGUCCUUAAUCACUGAGCUACAGUGGCCAGACCCUAGAUUUUUUUUAUGGAAGAUGCAGAAGACAUUACAUCUCCUCAUCUUCCCUUUGUCUUUCCCCGAGGUGUGGGUAAUACUACAGCAGUGGUUCUCAACCUUCCUAAUGCUGUGACCCUUUAAUACAGUUCCUCAUGUUGUGGUGACCCCAACCAUAAAAUUAUUUUCAUUGCUACAUCAUAACUGUAAUUUUGCUACUGUUAUGAUUCAUAAUGUAAAUAUCUGUGUUUUCUGAUGGUCUUAGGGGACCCCUGUGAAAGGGUUGUUCGACCCCCAAAGGGAUCGUGACCCAGAGGUUGAGAACUGCUGGUGAAGGCAGAGCCC
Pipistrellus kuhlii (Kuhl's pipistrelle) is the source of this 770-nucleotide long non-coding RNA. RefSeq lists it as uncharacterized. NCBI's taxonomy places the organism in Eukaryota, Metazoa, Chordata, Mammalia, Chiroptera, Vespertilionidae. The transcript is spliced from 3 exons. The record is from RefSeq and is a predicted model, not a curated record.